Non-coding RNA from Pilatotrama ljubarskyi, 95 nucleotides. Lineage: Eukaryota; Fungi; Basidiomycota; Agaricomycetes; Polyporales; Polyporaceae. The record is from the annotation of a GenBank genome assembly.
UCCCGCUUAGCUCAGUUGGUAGAGCGCGUCACUAGUACUAAGGGCCUGCUUGGCAAGUCAUGACGAGGUCAGUCGUUCGAGUCGGCUAGUGGGAA